Long non-coding RNA from Pseudopipra pipra, 2269 nucleotides. RefSeq lists it as uncharacterized. The transcript is spliced from 2 exons. Lineage: Eukaryota; Metazoa; Chordata; Aves; Passeriformes; Pipridae. The record is from RefSeq and is a predicted model, not a curated record.
GUGGAAGGGGCUGAACUGGAAGGUGAUGGUACAACACAUGAGUAGAGACAAUGAGGGAAGGACAUAAAGAGGGGAAGAGAACAUCUAGGUUCUAAUUGGAAAAGGCAACUUGAUGGAUGAGGUACCAAAGUAAAGCAGAGUUUAAUCUCCUAUCCUGUGACAGGUUGUGCAGAGUACUCACCUCAGCCCGCGGAGCUGCUGUGCGGUCAAAAAUAGGUACUUGAUGUGAAAUGCUUUUACUGCAAAGAAAGGGGACAGCAGGGAGAUAAACAUGCCUUUCUAGUCAUAAAAAAUGCUACACAAUCAGUAGUACAAUGUCUGUAUUUUUACUAUUUAAGAGGCAGGCAAGCCAUAGACCACUGGAGAAACUGCAUGAAAAUGAAUCUGUGUGCAGCACUGAAGUAAAAAAAUAUGGAUGCAACAACAUUGCCCUAGUUCCCUCAGUUUCAGUUCAGAGUAGCAACAAUCUGAUGGUGUCUGCUGUUGAGAACAGAUGGAAUUUUCAAUAUAGUCAGUAUCCUGGACUUCCACAGCACUGCUUAGCCCCCCUACUCUGCCUUCUGGGCAUCUCUGUUUCUAGCAUUUAUGGCAUUUAGUUCAAACUCUGUCAUCAUACACACAUGCAAUUUCUGCAGCGUUUGAGGUAAGUGAAAAGGAAGCGGGUCCAUCUUUGCUAUGCUGAAAGGAGAAUUAAUUUGUCUAAAGGGUAAUGAAGUAUGGCGUCUACUUAACAGCUCUCCAAAGGGGUGUCAAUGCUGCUAUGUAGGACAGGCCCCUGUUUAGACAAAGGACAGAAACAAAUUAAAUAUUCCGUUUCAUUUAGUGUAUGAACCAGAUCUCACUGAAUUCAUUGCCAAAACUCACAUUGACUUCAGUGGUGCAAGCCUAUGUCAUUAAUCUUGGCCUGUAUAUUCUGCACAUUAUAAUAGAAAUUACCAUUAAAGAAAUACAGGCAGAUAGAACUGGACAGUAUUUUUUAAAAGCAAGCUAUACUCUCCUUUUGGAAUUUUCCUUUAAUGCAAGUACCACAUCCACUUUAAAAAUCUGAGAUUACUGAAAAGAAGAAAUACUCUGUGUUCACUCCACCACAAAGAUCCUCAUAUUGGGAAUUCAUGGAUUCACACGGGAAACACAGUGGUGACCCUCAUCUCUCUCUCUCCCCCCCAAAACUGGACAGCAUCUUUUACAUCAAGAAAUGCUGAAAAAACAUGUCAAUCACUUACACUCGGCGUGUCCGUGGGCGAAGCCGUCUCAGUCUGUGAGGCACCUGCUCGCUAUCGAAGGUUGAGUGGUAGAAGAACAGCCGUACAUCUUCAUCCAUCAACACCCAAGCAGGGAGGCAGAGUAGGUUCUGUGCCAAGAGCAAGGAGGAAGCAGAGUGUAGCAGUGGGAGAGACCAAUUCUCUAUUUAUUUACAUGCAACAAAUAUGCCUCUCUGACCUACAGGAUCAUGAAGGAUAUUCAUUACUGCCAGAAAUCUCUCUCCUCUCCCUUCUCACUCAGCAGGACACAGCUGAACAGCUGACAGUUUCUCUUCUUUACUCCUGGAGUUGGCCAAUGUAUUGCUUCACUCUUUUUGUACCUGAUUUACUGCAGAAGUAAAUUGUUUUUUUGUUUCCCUUCAGAACAUGAAUGACUGUGGAAAGAAGGCAAUCUUAAGUCAUGUAAGCCUUGGCCAGUGUUUCAAGCUUUUAGUGAUUUAAAGUCAGGUCUUCAGUUAACCUGCACACAAAGAAUUUCUCUCCUUGAUGUUUACUGGAUGCAUCUUCACUGUAGAGCAGGUAUAACCAGAAGCCCACCUGUCCUGAUUCUGGCUGUGACAGAGCCAGUUUUCUUCUUAGUAGCUGGUACAGUGCUGUGUGUUGGAUUUAGCAUGAGAAUGAUGUUGGUAGCACACUGCUGUUUUAGUUGCUUCUAACCAGUGGCUCACUAAACCAAGGACUUUUCCAUGCUCUGCUAGUGAGGAGCUGCACAAGAAGCCAGGAGGGACCAUGGCCAGGACAGCUGAUCCGAACUGGCCAAAGGGGUAUUCCAUCCCAUAGAAUGCCCAGUAUGUAAAUUGUGGGGAGUUGGCUUGGAGCCACUGGUCACUGCUCAGAGGACUGGCUGGGUAUCAGUCAGCAGGUGGUGAGCAAUUGUGUUGUGCAUCACUUGUUUGUUUUUUUCUUUAGUUUUAUUUCUCUCUGUCUUUUUCAUUAUCUCCCUUUAAAUUACAAUUAUUAGGAUUAUAUUUUACUUUAUCUCAAUUAUUAAACUUUACUUAUCUCAA